Molecule: ribosomal RNA, 492 nt
Filed under: uncultured bacterium
Lineage: Bacteria
Description: partial 16S ribosomal RNA
Rfam family: Bacterial small subunit ribosomal RNA
Source: RNAcentral
AGUGAACGCUGGCGGUAGGCCUAACACAUGCAAGUCGAACGGCAGCACAGUAAGAGCUUGCUCUUACGGGUGGCGAGUGGCGGACGGGUGAGGAAUACAUCGGAAUCUACUUUUUCGUGGGGGAUAACGUAGGGAAACUUACGCUAAUACCGCAUACGACCUACGGGUGAAAGCAGGGGAUCUUCGGACCUUGCGCGAUUGAAUGAGCCGAUGUCGGAUUAGCUAGUUGGCGGGGUAAAGGCCCACCAAGGCGACGAUCCGUAGCUGGUCUGAGAGGAUGGCCAGCCACACUGGAACUGAGACACGGUCAAGACUCCUACGGGAGGCAGCAGUGGGGAAUAUUGGACAAUGGGCGCAAGCCUGAUCCAGCCAUACCGCGUGGGUGAAGAAGGCCUUCGGGUUGUAAAGCCCUUUUGUUGGGAAAGAAAAGCAGCAGGUUAAUACCCCGCUGUUCUGACGGUACCCAAAGAAUAAGCACCGGCUAACUUCGCG